RNAcentral lists this long non-coding RNA (1174 nucleotides) under Pan troglodytes (chimpanzee). RNAcentral describes it as "long non-coding RNA NONPTRT013415". The record is from RNAcentral. Lineage: Eukaryota; Metazoa; Chordata; Mammalia; Primates; Hominidae.
UCUGGCGUAAUUAUGGGCUCAGAAUGGGGGAAUGUGAGGUGAUUGGUCCAUGGACAGGCCUGGAAAAAGCCCCAUUUGAUUGGCUAAAAGGCAUCGAAGAAGUUCUCACUCUGAUCAUGGACUCUACCUGGACUGCCAACCCUGUUUUCAGGCUUUAAAUUGUCCUUGGUUUGAAGGUUGAGUUUUACUGGGGACCUGUCCCUGUCUGCCUAGGAAUUUUUCUCCCUCCUGCUGCUAUCAAUCUCCGCUCUGAAAAGGUAUGUUGGAGCAAAUUAGUGUUUAAACACCUGUUCAGAAGAAUUAACAGAUUGCAGUAUAGCAUGAAUACUAUCCCUCUGGUCAUUACUUAUUCUGGCACAUAGGUCUAUAAGGACACUUGAAGCUCAUUACACGUGGUACUCUAUGGAAGGAAGUGUCAAUGCUGUGGAAAACAACUCCGAUAGAGAGAACAUCAUGAGAGCUUGGAAUGAUUACAUCAUUGGCAAUGCCAUCAUUGUUAUAGAAAAGCCAUGAAAGCCAUCAAGCCUGAAACAACAAAUUCCUUCUGGAGAAUACUGUGUAUAGAUGUGCAUGGCUUCACAGGAUUUAUGACUGAGCCAAUCAACGAAAUCAUAAAAGAAGUUGUGCAUAUGGCAAAAAUAAAAAGGUGGGGGUAAAGGGUUUCAAGAUAUGGGUCUUGGAUUAAUUCAGGACCUAAUAAACGCCACACCAGAGAAAUUCACAAUGGAUGACUUGAUGGAGAUGAGUGCUUUCAAACCAGUGCCAGAUGAUGAGGAGGAAGGCAUAGAAGAUGCAGGGCCAGGAAACAAGUUGACUUUAGACACUCUGGGAGGAGGGAUCCAGUUAUUCAAGAAUGCUUUUGACUUCUUUCAUAUGACAUGGACCCUUCUACAAUACAGGCAAUAAGAUUAAAGCAAAUGAUAAAGAAGAAUUAGUACUGUAUAAAAACAUUUUUAGAGAAAUGAGAAGACAGGAAUUCAGAUAGAAAUUAUGAUGUAUUUCUGUAAAGUUACACUGAGUGUGCCUGCUUCUUCUGACUCCUCUUCCAUCUCCUCCAUAUCUUCCACCUCUAUCACCCCUGAGACAACAAGACCAACCCCUCGUCUUCCUCCUCCUCAGCUUAGUUGAUGCGAAAACAACAAGGAUAAAGAUCUUUAUGAUGAUCCACUUCCAC